UCUGUCAUACCGAUCUUGAUCAGUGCUUGGAAAGGCGAGAACGAGGCGCAUCGAGCCUAUCCUCGAAUCCUUGGCCACGAAGCUGUCGGAGUCGUGGAGAGCGUGGGAGAAGGGGUGUUGGACAUGAGAGAAGGUGAUCACGUGAUUCCCAUCUUCAAUGGAGAGUGUGGACACUGCGUCUACUGCAAAUCAGAGAAGACUAACCUGUGUGAAACGUUCCGCGUCAAUCCGCUCAAGAAGGUGAUGCACAACGACGAUAAAUCGAGGUUCACGAGCAGAGACGGCCAACCCAUCUGCCACUUCCUU
This is a long non-coding RNA of Telopea speciosissima, 306 nucleotides long. RefSeq lists it as uncharacterized. NCBI's taxonomy places the organism in Eukaryota, Viridiplantae, Streptophyta, Magnoliopsida, Proteales, Proteaceae. The record is from RefSeq and is a predicted model, not a curated record. The transcript has 3 exons.